GACGAACGCUGGCGGCGUGCUUAACACAUGCAAGUUGAACGAGAAUUGUUCGAGUGAUUUCUUCGGAAUGAUCAUGAAGAAGGAAAGUAGCUAACGGGUGAGUAACACGUGAGGAACCUGCCUUUCACAAAGGGAUAGCCUCGGGAAACCGGGAUUAAUACCUUAUGAAACCAAACACUCGCAUGAGAGAUUGGUUAAAGAUUUGUCGGUGUUAGAUGUUCUCGCGUCUGAUUAGCUAGUUGGUGGGAUAAAAGCCUACCAAGGCAACGAUCAGUAGACGGAUAGAGAGGUUGAACCGACACUCUGGAACUGAGACACGGUCAAGAAUAGUACGGGAGGGAGGAGUGGGGAAUUUUGCACAAUCGAGGAAACUAUGAUGCAGCGACGCUGGGUGAGUGAUGAAGGUCUUCGGAUUGUAAAGCUAUGUAAUUAGUGAAGAUAAUGACAGUAACUAAGAAGCAAGCCCCGGCUAACUACGUG
RNAcentral lists this ribosomal RNA (480 nucleotides) under uncultured bacterium. RNAcentral describes it as "partial 16S ribosomal RNA". It matches the Rfam family "Bacterial small subunit ribosomal RNA", at positions 28 to 507 of the family's 1533-position model. The record is from RNAcentral.